UAGGAGAGGGUGGCUUGUAAAGAGACUUUCAUAAGAUGCUUUCAGCUAUUCUUGUCUCUUAUCCUUCCCCAAUGCACACAGUGUCAGCAGCUGAAAAAAGGUGGCUUCCAUUCUGUUAAGCAGGCAGUUCAAAUUAUUUUUAUUUUUUUAGACUCAGGUCACUGCAUGUGGAUUUUCUGCAAUUUUGCUUAAUGUGUACAACACUGUUCUGGCAAGUGCUAAAAAA
Molecule: non-coding RNA, 226 nt
Organism: Pelobates cultripes (western spadefoot toad)
Lineage: Eukaryota; Metazoa; Chordata; Amphibia; Anura; Pelobatidae
Source: the annotation of a GenBank genome assembly